GGGGUCUAAUACCGGAUAACACCGGCCUCCGCAUGGGGGCUGGUUGAAAGCUCCGGCGGUGAAGGAUGAGCCCGCGGCCUAUCAGCUUGUUGGUGGGGUAAUGGCCUACCAAGGCGACGACGGGUAGCCGGCCUGAGAGGGCGACCGGCCACACUGGGACUGAGACACGGCCCACACUCCUACGGGAGGCAGCAGUGGGGAAUAUUGCACAAUGGGCGAAAGCCUGAUGCAGCGACGCCGCGUGAGGGAUGACGGCCUUCGGGUUGUAAACCUCUUUCAGCAGGGAAGAAGCGCAAGUGACGGUACCUGCARAARAAGCGCCGGCUAACUACGUGCCAGCAGCCGCGGUAAUACGUAGGGCGCAAGCGUUGUCCGGAAUUAUUGGGCGUAAAGAGCUCGUAGGCGGCUUGUCACGUCGGGUGUGAAAGCCCGGGGCUUAMCCCCGGGUCUGCAUCCGAUACGGGCAGGCUAGAGUGUGGUAGGGGAGAUCGGAAUUCCUGGUGUAGCGGUGAAAUGCGCAGAUAUCAGGAGGAACACCGGUGGCGAAGGCGGAUCUCUGGGCCAUUACUGACGCUGAGGAGCGAAAGCGUGGGGAGCGAACAGGAUUAGAUACCCUGGUAGUCCACGCCGUAAACGUUGGGAACUAGGUGUUGGCGACAUUCCACGUCGUCG
RNAcentral lists this ribosomal RNA (672 nucleotides) under Actinomycetales bacterium TLI105. RNAcentral's name for it is "bacterial SSU rRNA". It matches the Rfam family "Bacterial small subunit ribosomal RNA", at positions 158 to 842 of the family's 1533-position model. The record is from RNAcentral. Lineage: Bacteria; Bacillati; Actinomycetota; Actinomycetes; Actinomycetales.